AGUGAACGCUGGCGGUAGGCCUAACACAUGCAAGUCGAACGGCAGCACAGUAAGAGCCUGCUCUUACGGGUGGCGAGUGGCGGACGGGUGAGGAAUACAUCGGAAUCUACUUUUUCGUGGGGGAUAACGUAGGGAAACUUACGCUAAUACCGCAUACGACCUACGGGUGAAAGCAGGGGAUCUUCGGACCUUGCGCGAUUGAAUGAGCCGAUGUCGGAUUAGCUAGUUGGCGGGGUAAAGGCCCACCAAGGCGACGAUCCGUAGCUGGUCUGAGAGGAUGAUCAGCCACACUGGAACUGAGACACGGUCCAGACUCCUACGGGAGGCAGCAGUGGGGAAUAUUGGACAAAGGGCGCAAGCCUGAUCCAGCCAUACCGCGUGGGUGAAGAAGGCCUUCGAGUUGUAAAGCCCUUUUGUUGGGAAAGAAAAGCAGCAGGUUAAUACCCCGCUGUUCUGACGGUACCCAAAGAAUAAGCACCGGCUAACUUCGUG
Molecule: ribosomal RNA, 492 nt
Filed under: uncultured bacterium
Lineage: Bacteria
Description: partial 16S ribosomal RNA
Rfam family: Bacterial small subunit ribosomal RNA
Source: RNAcentral